Molecule: unclassified non-coding RNA, 263 nt
Filed under: plant metagenome
Description: partial contains small subunit ribosomal RNA, internal transcribed spacer 1, and 5.8S ribosomal RNA
Source: RNAcentral
UUUCCGUAGGUGAACCUGCGGAAGGAUCAUUAUUGUAUAACCGAGGUGCGAGGGCUGUCGCUGACCCGAAAGGUCGUGCACGCCCAAGUGCCCUCACACACAUCCAUCUCACCCCUAUGUGCACCACCGCGUGGGUCCCCCUUUGGCUUGUUCGGAGGGGGGCUUACGUUUUCACACAAACUUUGUAUGCAGUGUAGAAUGUAUUUUUUGUUUUUGCGAUCACGCAAUCAAUACGACUUUCAACAACGGAUCUCUUGGCUCUC